CACGUAGGGCGCGAGCGUUGUCCGGAAUUAUUGGGCGUAAAGAGCUCGUAGGCGGCCUGUUGCGUCCGCUGUGAAAGCCCGGGGCUUAACCCCGGGUCUGCAGUGGAUACGGGCAGGCUAGAGGUAGGUAGGGGAGAAUGGAAUUCCCGGUGUAGCGGUGAAAUGCGCAGAUAUCGGGAGGAACACCGGUGGCGAAGGCGGUUCUCUGGGCCUUACCUGACGCUGAGGAGCGAAAGCGUGGGGAGCAAACAGG
Molecule: ribosomal RNA, 253 nt
Filed under: uncultured bacterium
Lineage: Bacteria
Description: partial 16S ribosomal RNA
Rfam family: Bacterial small subunit ribosomal RNA
Source: RNAcentral